RNAcentral lists this ribosomal RNA (404 nucleotides) under Actinomycetes bacterium. Its description in RNAcentral is "Actinobacteria bacterium partial 16S ribosomal RNA". It matches the Rfam family "Bacterial small subunit ribosomal RNA", at positions 355 to 776 of the family's 1533-position model. Lineage: Bacteria; Bacillati; Actinomycetota; Actinomycetes. The record is from RNAcentral.
UGGGGAAUAUUGGACAAUGGGCGCAAGCCUGAUCCAGCCAUGCCGCGUGAGUGAUGAAGGCCCUAGGGUUGUAAAGCUCUUUCACCGGUGAAGAUAAUGACGGUAACCGGAGAAGAAGCCCCGGCUAACUUCGUGCCAGCAGCCGCGGUAAUACGAAGGUGGCUAGCGUUGUUCGGAUUUACUGGGCGUAAAGCGCACGUAGGCGGACUUUUAAGUCAGGGGUGAAAUCCCGGGGCUCAACCCCGGAACUGCCUUUGAUACUGGAAGUCUUGAGUAUGGUAGAGGUGAGUGGAAUUCCGAGUGUAGAGGUGAAAUUCGUAGAUAUUCGGAGGAACACCAGUGGCGAAGGCGGCUCACUGGACCAUUACUGACGCUGAGGUGCGAAAGCGUGGGGAGCAAACAGG